Molecule: ribosomal RNA, 482 nt
Filed under: uncultured bacterium
Lineage: Bacteria
Description: bacterial SSU rRNA
Rfam family: Bacterial small subunit ribosomal RNA
Source: RNAcentral
GACGAACGCUAGCGGCGUGCCUAAGGUAUGCAAGUCGAACGGGGGGAGCAAUCCCCUAGUGGCGAACGGUCGAGUAACACGUAGACAGCCUGCCUCCCAGUGGGGGAUACCCGCUCGAAAGGGCGGCUAAUACCGCAUGUGGUCCAGAGCGGCAUCGCUCCGGUACUAAAGGUUUACUGCUGGGAGAUGGGUCUGCGCCCUAUCAGCUAGUUGGCGGGGUAACGCCCACCAAGGCGACGACGGGUAGCGGGUCUGAGAGGAUGAUCCGCCGGACGGGGGCUGAGACACGGCCCCGACUCCUUCGGGAGGCAGCAGUGGGGAAUUUUGGACAAUGGGGGCAACCCUGAUCCAGCAAUGCCGCGUGUGUGAAGAAGGCCUGCGGGUUGUAAAGCACUUUAGGUGAGGAGAAAGGUCAUCAGGUUAAUAGCCUGGUGAAUUGAUGUUACUCACAGAAUAAGCACCGGCUAACUCUGUGCCAGCAG